AAAAGGUGAGGUUAGAACCGGGCCUCCGGACGGAACUGUGGGCGAGGGGAGGGGUCCGUACUCGGGGGGUGAUUUAGAGGAGGGACCCGGCCUAGCCGGUGGUUCAGGUGGCCGGUCGGGCUGGAAGGGCGGGGAUGAGGGAUGGGACGCAUCCCGGGGGAUGCUCCUCCAAAGCUUUUAUCGGGCGAGCGCAGUGGCUCACGCCUGUAAUUCCUGCACUUUGGGAGGCUAAGGAUGAAAGGCUUCCUAGCACAAACACCACCCCUGGAGUUCCCGGUACAUCAAUACCAGCCUGGGGAUCACGUUCUCAUCAAGAGUUGGAAGAGGGAAAGCUUGAGCCAGCUUAGGAGGACCUUAUCUGGUACUCUUGAUGAACGAAACAGCAAUCUGAAUGGCUGAAAAAGGAUGGACCCAGCAUUCCAGGGAGAAAACUUGGCAUUCUUUGGGAAUCUAACAGGAUGCAGUGAACCCAAGCCUUUUCAAGAGCUCACCAAUCAGACUGCCCUUGUCUAUCCAUGAGCAGAUGUUUGAUAGUAUUGCGGAGGACCUCUAGUGGGUAUGCUGCCAAGCAACUGGAGUGGCACUUGGGCUCUAAUCCAGUUGUCUAUCCCUUUCACCCUGG
RNAcentral lists this long non-coding RNA (622 nucleotides) under Pan troglodytes (chimpanzee). RNAcentral describes it as "long non-coding RNA NONPTRT007959". Lineage: Eukaryota; Metazoa; Chordata; Mammalia; Primates; Hominidae. The record is from RNAcentral.